Molecule: long non-coding RNA, 274 nt
Filed under: Nicotiana benthamiana
Lineage: Eukaryota; Viridiplantae; Streptophyta; Magnoliopsida; Solanales; Solanaceae
Description: long non-coding RNA (NBEN_LNC040256)
Source: RNAcentral
GACCCUCGAUGGCUGACCCUUCUUCUUCAUCUUCCAGCAAUAAAUCAGCUUCCUUCACCACCAAAUAACGUUUGCCGACCAAAAAAAAUCGCCUAAUUUGAUUAGAAUAAAAUUAAUUAAUGCUCGUAAUAGCGGCAAGAACAAAACAAGAGACCAUGAGAAUGGCAACUGACAAUUGGGUGAAAUGUGAAAGAGAAAUCCUUCUAUUUUCCCAUUUCCACAAAUAUAUUGGUAAAAACCACGGCCUCCAUUCCAAUCUCUCACCCUACAUUCU